GGACAGAUGUGGGAAUCCCAGCAGUGAGAUACUGGCAGAGGCGCACAUCUGGAAUCCACGGAGCAGAGCUGAGCUGAGCUGAGCUGUGUGUGUUAGGCUCACAGGGCUCUUGAUCCAAGAACCACCAAACCAGAGAGAUAUCACGCUGGAAAUGAGAUUCAGCUACAGUCUGACGUGAAUUUACGCUCAGCAUCUGACAGACUGACACCCCCGUCUCCCCGUCUCCCUUGGGGUUGAUUUUUCUCUCCUGUGUGUGUGGGGGGCAUUAAGGGGGCACGGCUCACCCUGCUCACUGUCUCUGUCUGCUUUUCUCAUGAUACUUGUACAGUGAGUGCUUUUGCUGUGUUUCAUGAUGUUACCUUUGGAACAGAGAAACACAGUAAAUUUUUCCAUGGGGAAAAAUUCUA
Molecule: long non-coding RNA, 407 nt
Organism: Cavia porcellus (domestic guinea pig)
Lineage: Eukaryota; Metazoa; Chordata; Mammalia; Rodentia; Caviidae
Exons: 2
Source: RefSeq, a predicted model, not a curated record